This is a long non-coding RNA of Rattus norvegicus (Norway rat), 5485 nucleotides long. RefSeq lists it as uncharacterized. The record is from RefSeq and is a predicted model, not a curated record. Lineage: Eukaryota; Metazoa; Chordata; Mammalia; Rodentia; Muridae.
UCCACCCACUUGUACACACAGUCACAAGCAGACUGAGAUUAAUGUGAUGCUUUUUUCUAUAUUCUGAAAUUCCCAGUAGAGAAACAAAAGUCCUGCUUUAACACCUGUGGAAGACCAUUCAUGUUUUUAUGGGUUCUACUAUCCACUGAUAUUAAUCAAACUUUUUUUUAAAAAAGCAUAGCAUCUUCUUGAAGUCUAAAUGAUUUCAUAUCUCGUGUGUGAAGCUCCAAGGUAUUUAUUGAUUACUCUUUGUUCCCUGAAGGGAGAUUUUUCUGGUGCUGAUUAUGUAAGCAGCUGUGUGAUUUUAGGCAGGCUACAAAUCACCGCUAGUCAGUCUGUCCAUCCCUACAUGACAGAGUCUGGGUAACUCUCCUGUUUGCCUCACUCACUGUUAGGAAGCUCAGCAUAGAGUUUCUAAAAGUAGAAGUCACAUGGCCUAUGAACCUGGCAUGUCAUUCCGGCAAAGCAGUGUUUACGUUUGCAUUGUAACAAUAAACUGCAAAUGAUCAAUGUAAUUUAGAGGAGCAGGUUUUAGUUAGAUCCACAAUAUUGGGCUCGAAUACUCAUUCUCAGAGAACGACCCUUCAGCUUUGAUUGAUGUAUCUUCAUUAUUUAUUCAGCAGCCUUGGGUUGAGCAAAGCUUAUUGUGAGCGAUGGUCAGAGUAUGUGUGGGAUAACAGCUGAAGUCUGGGGUCCCUCUUUCUGUAAAUGGUUUUGUGUAUCUGGCUUUGCUCUUGUGUUUUUUGGAUGCAGUCAGCAGCCGUAAGUUGUGUGCCGGGAUGCCAGCCAGAAAGACGUGCCGGCUGGUGUGAUAGAAGGUAGCCUUCCUCAUCCCCGAAGCCCAGCUUCCCAGUCUCUCAUCCGGGUUAUAAUCUCGUCAUCAAAUGUGGGUGUGGUCACAAAACUGGCAAGGGUAAAGGUUUCCUGCAGGUACAGGACCAAACAUGAGACAUACCUAAUCUGAGGUUUUGGGAGGGCACUGACUGUGGCGCAGUCACGGUCGGGACUUCUCUGUCUACCCGCACUACCUUCACAUCACAGUGGCAACGACUGCUGCCAGAGAUUCCGCAGCGCAGCUUCAGACUGCGCACGCAGCGAGUGAAUGGUUUGCACUUUACAUAACACGCUUGUGCCCAUAUGGAAACAUACGGUUUAAUUAUGAAAUAUAGACUUUGAUAUUUCCCUACCUAUCUUUACCACUUUGAAAUGUAUUAUGCUGGAGUGCUCGGUUCCAAAAGUUGACUCAUGUCAUACAAAUUACUGUACACAUGUGUGCAUACGCUUAACACACACACACAUACACACACACACACACAUACACACACACACGCACAAAUUAAAAGAAUUUAAAUCUUUUUUAAAAAAAUUAAUGAAUUUUGACUUGGGAUCAGGACAGGACAUCUAGAAACUUCUCCAAAGACUUUAAACAUACUCUCACUUAUAAAACAACACUCUGAAUAUUAAUUGUGAAAUCAAAAUGUAAAUUAAUUUUGUAAAACACUAAAGAUCCUUUCUCCUGCGUCAUCACAGGUGACAACGUUUAAUUUUUAUAUAAGAACUACUAAGCACACCCAUCUCAUCAGAAUAAAAUGCUUUUUAAAUGAUAAAAUCACUUUUAAAUGAAAAAUUGCCUUAAUGGAAAUCUCUUUAUGGCUUCUCCAUGAACGUUUGAUGCAUAACAUACCUUACUAUGCAUAGUUCCCUAUAGACCCACGUAGUUGAGGUCCUAUAAAAAGUUUCUGGGUGAAUGGGGUAACGAAUGGGAAGAGUUUAGAUCUUAUAUCCCAGCAAAGAGAUGCGGUGUUCUGUGACUUGAAGUUUCCUUGCUCAGUCUGUGCCUGGACACAAGCAGAAUGACUUUUUAUCGCUUUGUUUGGGGUCUCCCAGCCAUCUCAUUCUUAGCUCUUAGGGAAAUGGCUGACUUUUCAAGACCCAAGGUCGAGAGCGUCACUCUGUCUUUGUGACCAGGGAGCAAACUAUAUUAUACAGGAAAUUGCCCAGUCGUAUCUUUUUAUUUUCCUUCUGCCAUGAAUCUAACUUCCUUAGACUUAUACCAGGUAUUAAACUAGAUCCAGCAGAUAGAGUCCACCACACCAGGAAACACUGAGCUGUGCCUUCCCCUCAGAUCACUGCCCCUCCUCUCCUUUCUGGGCAAAGAUCAUUUUUCUUAAAGUUUUCCUAUCUUCAUUUUGAUGGUUGCAAGUAUGCUAUUCUGGUUGAAACUCUCUACUACUUCUCUGUAUGUGAACGUAAUCAGUGUUCUGAAACUGUGCCAUUGGUAUCCUUUGGAAAGAUUUAAGUCUUGGACCGUACACAGAGAACAGCUAAUUUUCAAAUAGGAAUGCACGAUUAAUUUGCAGAGUGAGCUUUAAAUAUUCCCAUAUAUUUUGUGUCAUUCAGAAGUCUUUAUUUUCCACUCAUUGGAAAUCAGGGCACCAUCCAAGAAUCUAGAAUUAUUAAAGUAAAUAAAUCCUAAACCUUCUGGCUUGUUCCUGGACAUAAUUACAUAGGCAAAGUCCUUGCAUUUUUUGAAGCAGAAUGCUAUUGUUCGACGCUCAAGAAGAACACUUGUAGGCUUCAUAAAUUUAAAUGGAGUGACCAGAAAACAAGAAAGGUCUACUUACUACCAGGUCACGGAUGCCUGGUAGGAGAGCUGAGAGUUUCAAUAAAGAUAUAAUUGGUAAUCUUGAAUUCAGUGGCAAGAAAAUUAUCUAUCUGUCCCUGUCAUGAGCCUCCUCUGUGAAAUCUGGAUGAGUUGAAGAGACAAAACAAGAGUUUACCAGGAAAGACCUGAAGCUAUACCUUUGAUCAUGACUGUUCAGAAGGAGUAGUUUUGCUGCUCCUGUCGUAGCAACACAGAUACCGACUUACUUAACAUUUUCCUUUUCUGUACAUCCUCGUCUCCUCUCGCAAUGCCCUUCCCUAACUUUGUCACUGGUUAAAAUAGACCACUGUACACUAAAUCUGUCCACCACAGUUAAUUACUUCGGUUGCAUGGCAGAGCAUUUCGUUCCAGUACCUGCUCUCCACGGACUUUAAAGAUAGAGUUUAAUAUUCGUUUGCAUGUUGGUUGCUGUACAUCUUAAGCCAUAAAGACCUUGUCAGGCGCUCUGAGCAAUAGUAAAUUAUUAAUUUCCAGACAAAAAAAUUAAGUGGAUUAAAGAAAGAGCUGUUGUGUAUCCCGCCAGUGGCUUUUAAGACACUGAUGUCUAUCUAUGCUUUGAAUGUGUCUAUUCUUAGCUGUUCAAACCCCAGGUGAUGAGCUCCGAGUAGCCGUCUGCUUGUAGAGAGGAGGCACUGAAUUGAAGCAACCCAACAUAUCCUGCUGGAUUCUGACUAAGGACAAAGGCUUCCUCUCUCUUACCUGCUGUCUUUCAGUUUUCUUUUUGGAAAACAUUAUGCCGAGAUAAAAGAACUGUUACUUUUUAGUAAAAAGUGGGGAGGAAAACACACACACACACACACACACACACACACACACACACACAAACAUUCAUCGUAGAUGCCCUUAUUUAUCAAAUAUUACAUAAGGGAAUUAAGAUAAAAACUGUAUAAAAGAAAAUCCAAAGAAGCAACAACUGACCACUGGCCAUCACUGAGCAAUGGUAAAAGCUUCAGGAAGUAGGAAAACUAUGGCUUGUGCUAGAUUAUAUACCUCUGUCUCCAAAGCAGACAGUUCCAUUCAGAAUUAUUGUUAUUUGACGAUGACACGCAUUUAAUUUUUCAUUUCUCUGUCAGCUUUCCCAUACAGCGGGAACCUCACAAACAAUUAAUUGGCUUUCAAACAGCAAGCAUUUGUCAGUGGCUUUUCGGAUUGCAAUAGACGGAAAGGAUUAGGGUAGCAGGAUCUUGGGGCCAGCCCAUCUUUAGGACAGCACAGGAGGCAGAGAAGAAGGUGUCUAAGUGCUGAUGUAUACACAAAGCAUCCACUUAGGAAAGCUUCGGAGGAACAGAUAGGAGGGCACAAGGCAUUGUUUAAAGAGCAUGACUUAGAGGGGCUCCUUUCUCGUCAAUAAUUUUAUAAAAUAUACACGACUCUCAUGGCUUACAUGCAUACAUUAUGUUGAGGGGCAGGAUGCCAUGAGGGUCUCCUCUCUGUUUGUGUUCCCAGAACUCUUUGAUAGAAUCAAUACACAUCGUCAAGAGCCAUUAAAAAUGACAAUGACCUCUGGUAGAAUGAAAGCGUAUGGAGCCUGUGUUUUAAAGGCCUUUCCAUUUCAUACUCAGGAGCUGGGAGGAAACCAGGACCGAUAUCUUACUAUUCUCGUGGUGAGCUGGCAUGUACAGCAUCCUGUGUUGGGUGCCUACAGUCCACAUUUAUGCUGGAACUCAUAUUGGAAAGAGCCGUCAUUUGGUUUUCAUACAAUAAACGUGUAUAUCACUUUGUGGUAGACUCAAAAGCCCAAGUUAUCCACAUGCAUACUAUUUUUUUUUAACUAAUCGUUUCAUUUCUUACUUAGAAUUAUCAGUCUUAGUCACUGUUCUACUGCUGUGAAAAGACGCCGUGACCAAGGCAACUCUAAUUGGAGGUUUGUCUUCAGGUUUGGAGGUUUAGUCCAUUAUCAUCAUGGCAGGGAACAUGGUCACAGACAGGCAGGUACUGGAGCAGUGGCCGGCAGGUACAUCCUGAGCUGUAGGCAGAGAGCAAGAGACCAGAUUUGGCCUUGGCCUUUGAGACCUCAAAGCCCACCUCCAGUGACACACUUCCUUUAACAAGGCCACACCCACUUCAGGAAGGCCACACCUCCUAGUCCUUAUAAUUUUUUCAAACAGUUCCACUUCCUGGUAACUAAACCCUCCACCAUAUGAGUCCGUGGGGACAAAUCUCAUUCAAAUCCCCAUGACCACACAGUAGCUUCACGUGUUCAUGAGGUAUAUACCAUGAUAUUCCAGUACUGUACAUGCUGUGUGAAGUUCAAAUCAUGCUAAUUAGCAUAUCUACAGCUUCUCCGGGGGGUGGCUCAGCCUACUGCCAGCCUCUCCUCUUUAUUUAAUUGUACUGUUACGUCAAGACUUGUUCGACCUAAAUAUUUAUUUAUUCUUUUAUAGGAUGAGAUGAUAGAUUCCAUUUUAAUUUCUUGGUAGAGUCCAGUAUUGAUCUUCCCACAGACAGGCACACGGAGGCAGCAGGAUGAAAGUGCUGUAACAUUAUCCCAGGAACUCUGUCCACUCACAGGACUUCACUGUGUUCUCGGCUACUCCUCUGGAAGCUUGCCUUCAGCUGAUCCCAGGGAAUGAUUUCUCUACUGGAAUAAGCUUUGGAACUGAGCUAAAAGCUGGACCAUUUUCCCGGCACCUGAAAAAUAGAAGAAUUCAACACCCGAUAUUUCCUGUUUUCAUUAACAAAAAAGGGACUUGUAACCACAUUUCCAGUUUAUCCAGGGAAGGUGACGCUGGAUGUGUGCACAGGUAGAUGGUUCACAGGGCCUCUCUAGACUUUCUGCUCAGUUUUGCUGUUUUCUGUAUUAACAAUAAAAUAUUUAAA